RNAcentral lists this unclassified non-coding RNA (221 nucleotides) under uncultured fungus. RNAcentral describes it as "sequence contains ITS1". Lineage: Eukaryota; Fungi. The record is from RNAcentral.
GUAAUUAUUAAAAUAAUUCAGACGCUGAUUGAAAAUUAAAAAGGUUAUUGAAUUGUCCAAUCGGCAGGCAAGCCCACCGAGGAAACACAAGUGCGCAAAAAGUCAAGGGUUAAGAAAGAAAGUGUACUCCUGCAUGGCUAUAGCUAUGCAGUUUCCACCCCCCUCAGACAGUAGCAAGCUACUGAUAUUUAAUGAUCCUUCCGCAGGUUCACCUACGGAAA